GAGUUUGAUCAUGGCUCAGAAUGAACGUUGGCGGCGUGGAUUAGGCAUGCAAGUCGAACGAAUCCCAGGAGCUUGCUCCUGGGGGAAGUGGCGAAAGGGGCAGUAAGGCGUGGGUAACCUACCCUGGGGACGAGGAUAGCCGUGCUAACGCGCGGGUAAUACUCGGCGAUUCGGCGAAAGGACAUCCUUUUGCCGGGAAAUGAGUUUCGCCUCGGGAGGGGCUCACGUGAUAUUAGCUUGUUGGUGAGGUAACGGCUCACCAAGGCAAAGAUGUCUAGCGGGUGUGAGAGCACGACCCGCGCCACUGGCACUGAGACACUGGCCAGACUCCUACGGGAGGCUGCAGUCGAGGAUCUUCGGCAAUGGGCGCAAGCCUGACCGAGCGACGCCGCGUGUGCGAUGAAGGCCUUCGGGUUGUAAAGCACUGUCGAGGGGGAGGAAGCCGCAAGGUUGACCUAUCCCUGGAGGAAGCACGGGCUAAGUUCGUGCCAGCAGCCGCGGUA
Molecule: ribosomal RNA, 503 nt
Filed under: uncultured Gemmata sp.
Lineage: Bacteria; Pseudomonadati; Planctomycetota; Planctomycetia; Gemmatales; Gemmataceae
Description: bacterial SSU rRNA
Rfam family: Bacterial small subunit ribosomal RNA
Source: RNAcentral